RNAcentral lists this long non-coding RNA (231 nucleotides) under Elaeis guineensis (African oil palm). Its description in RNAcentral is "long non-coding RNA (EGUI_LNC045408)". The record is from RNAcentral. Lineage: Eukaryota; Viridiplantae; Streptophyta; Magnoliopsida; Arecales; Arecaceae.
GGAGGACAUUAUGGAAGGUCGACUGCUUAAGGAGUCCGGAUGGUACUAUGGAAGCUCGGACGGCCAGAGAAGUUCAGAAAGAUGCCACACAAGGUCGAAAGCCAGAAGAGUUCUAGGAGGGUUGGCCUCUUAUGAACUUUGGCUGGGGUUAUUUUAUACCCAACACUCUUGAUCUUCUUCUUCUCUAAGAGUGUCUUGAGAGAAAAGAAGAGUCUUCUUCAACUAUCAAGA